GAUGAACGCUGGCGGCGUGCCUAAUACAUGCAAGUCGAGCGAACAGACGAGGAGCUUGCUCCUCUGACGUUAGCGGCGGACGGGUGAGUAACACGUGGAUAACCUACCUAUAAGACUGGGAUAACUUCGGGAAACCGGAGCUAAUACCGGAUAACAUGUUGAACCGCAUGGUUCAACAGUGAAAGACGGUCUUGCUGUCACUUAUAGAUGGAUCCGCGCCGCAUUAGCUAGUUGGUAAGGUAACGGCUUACCAAGGCAACGAUGCGUAGCCGACCUGAGAGGGUGAUCGGCCACACUGGAACUGAGACACGGUCCAGACUCCUACGGGAGGCAGCAGUAGGAAUCUUCCGCAAUGGGCGAAAGCCUGACGGAGCAACGCCGCGUGAGUGAAGAAGGUCUUCGGAUCGUAAAACUCUGUUAUUAGGGAAGAACAAAUGUGUAAGUAACUAUGCACGUCUUGACGGUACCUAAUCAGAAAGCCACGGCUAACUACGUG
This 496-nucleotide ribosomal RNA is filed under the name uncultured bacterium. RNAcentral describes it as "partial 16S ribosomal RNA". It matches the Rfam family "Bacterial small subunit ribosomal RNA", at positions 28 to 507 of the family's 1533-position model. The record is from RNAcentral.